RNAcentral lists this ribosomal RNA (434 nucleotides) under uncultured bacterium. Its description in RNAcentral is "partial 16S ribosomal RNA". It matches the Rfam family "Bacterial small subunit ribosomal RNA", at positions 29 to 507 of the family's 1533-position model. The record is from RNAcentral.
AGCGAACGCUGGCGGCAGGCCUAACACAUGCAAGUCGAACGAACCUUUCGGGGUUAGUGGCGGACGGGUGAGUAACACGUGGGAACGUGCCUUUAGGUUCGGAAUAACUCAGGGAAACUUGUGCUAAUACCGAAUGUGCCCUUCGGGGGAAAGAUUAAUCGCCUUUAGAGCGGCCCGCGUCUGAUUAGCUGGUUGGGUGGGGUAAUGGCUCACCAAGGCGACGAUCAGUAGCUGGUCUGAGAGGAGGCUCAGCCACAUUGGGACUGCGACACGGCCCACACUCCUACGGGAGGCAGCAGUAGGGAAUCUUGCGCAAUGGGCGCAAGCCUGACGCAGCCAUGCCGCGUGAGUGAUGAAGGUCUUAGGAUUGUAAUAUUCUUUCACCGGGGACGAUAAUGACGGUACCCGGUGAAGAAGCCCCGGCUAACUUCGUG